GACGAACGCUGGUGGCGUGCCUAAUACAUGCAAGUCGAGCGAGCGGAACUAACAGAUUUACUUCGGUAAUGACGUUAGGAAAGCGAGCGGCGGAUGGGUGAGUAACACGUGGGGAACCUGCCCCAUAGUCUGGGAUACCACUUGGAAACAGGUGCUAAUACCGGAUAAGAAAGCAGAUCGCAUGAUCAGCUUUUAAAAGGCGGCGUAAGCUGUCGCUAUGGGAUGGCCCCGCGGUGCAUUAGCUAGUUGGUGAGGUAAAGGCUUACCAAGGCGAUGAUGCAUAGCCGAGUUGAGAGACUGAUCGGCCACAUUGGGACUGAGACACGGCCCAAACUCCUACGGGAGGCAGCAGUAGGGAAUCUUCCACAAUGGACGCAAGUCUGAUGGAGCAACGCCGCGUGAGUGAAGAAGGUUUUCGGAUCGUAAAGCUCUGUUGUUGGUGAAGAAGGAUAGAGGUAGUAACUGGCCUUUAUUUGACGGUAAUCAACCAGAAAGUCACGGCUAACUACGUG
Molecule: ribosomal RNA, 512 nt
Filed under: uncultured bacterium
Lineage: Bacteria
Description: partial 16S ribosomal RNA
Rfam family: Bacterial small subunit ribosomal RNA
Source: RNAcentral